Molecule: long non-coding RNA, 231 nt
Filed under: Capsicum annuum
Lineage: Eukaryota; Viridiplantae; Streptophyta; Magnoliopsida; Solanales; Solanaceae
Description: long non-coding RNA (CANN_LNC000183)
Source: RNAcentral
AUGUGUAAUAUGGUUCAAUGGAUGGGAAUAUGUGAUACUUGUUUUAAUUGGGCUUUAAUGAGGAUUGUGUAACUGAGUCGUGAAAGUAAAAGUCUUGAAGGACCAAUACUAAAAAUUGCGGUUGCCGAUGCGGGGGUCUAUAUGAUCGGGUGGUUCGAGUUUUCCUUAUUAUUAUUAUCAAUUGAUUGAGAGGUUUGAGUCCCCCACAAUAUAUUACAUGAUUUGGUGCUU